GAUGAACGCUGGCGGCGUGCCUAAUACAUGCAAGUCGAGCGAACAGACGAGGAGCUUGCUCCUCUGACGUUAGCGGCGGACGGGUGAGUAACACGUGGAUAACCUACCUAUAAGACUGGGAUAACUUCGGGAAACCUGAGCUAAUACCGGAUAACAUGUUGAACCGCAUGGUUCAACAGUGAAAGACGGUCUUGCUGUCACUUAUAGAUGGAUCCGCGCCGCAUUAGCUAGUUGGUAAGGUAACGGCUUACCAAGGCAACGAUGCGUAGCCGACCUGAGAGGGUGAUCGGCCACACUGGAACUGAGACACGGUCCAGACUCCUACGGGAGGCAGCAGUAGGGAAUCUUCCGCAAUGGGCGAAAUCCUGACGGAGCAACGCCGCGUGAGUGAAGAAGGUCUUCGGAUCGUAAAACUCUGUUAUUAGGGAAGAACAAAUGUGUAAGUAACUAUGCACGUCUUGACGGUACCUAAUCAGAAAGCCACGGCUAACUACGUG
This 497-nucleotide ribosomal RNA is filed under the name uncultured bacterium. Its description in RNAcentral is "partial 16S ribosomal RNA". It matches the Rfam family "Bacterial small subunit ribosomal RNA", at positions 28 to 507 of the family's 1533-position model. The record is from RNAcentral.